Molecule: transfer RNA, 72 nt
Filed under: Camelus bactrianus (Bactrian camel)
Lineage: Eukaryota; Metazoa; Chordata; Mammalia; Artiodactyla; Camelidae
Also listed under: 2 other names
Rfam family: tRNA
About the family: Transfer RNA (tRNA) molecules are approximately 80 nucleotides in length. Their secondary structure includes four short double-helical elements and three loops (D, anti-codon, and T loops).
Source: Rfam by way of RNAcentral
GGAUAUACAGCUCAGUGGUAGAGUGCACGCUUAGCAUGCACGAGGUCCUAGGUUCAAUUCCCAGUACCUCCA